GAUGAACGCUGGCGGCGUGCCUAACACAUGCAAGUCGAGCGAUUCUCUUCGGAGAAGAGCGGCGGACGGGUGAGUAACGCGUGGGUAACCUGCCCUGUACACACGGAUAACAUACCGAAAGGUAUGCUAAUACGAGAUAAUAUGCUUUUAUCGCAUGGUAGAAGUAUCAAAGCUCCGGCGGUACAGGAUGGACCCGCGUCUGAUUAGCUAGUUGGUAAGGUAACGGCUUACCAAGGCGACGAUCAGUAGCCGACCUGAGAGGGUGAUCGGCCACAUUGGAACGGAGAGACGGUCCAAACUCCUACGGGAGGCAGCAGUGGGGAAUAUUGCACAAUGGGCGAAAGCCUGAUGCAGCAACGCCGCGUGAGCGAUGAAGGCCUUCGGGUCGUAAAGCUCUGUCCUCAAGGAAGAUAAUGACGGUACUUGAGGAGGAAGCCCCGGCUAACUACGUGCCAGCCGCCGCCGUAA
RNAcentral lists this ribosomal RNA (468 nucleotides) under uncultured bacterium. RNAcentral's name for it is "partial 16S ribosomal RNA". It matches the Rfam family "Bacterial small subunit ribosomal RNA", at positions 28 to 523 of the family's 1533-position model. The record is from RNAcentral.